ACUAUAUAUGAAGUCACCUAAAAAAGCUUAUGAAUUGAUAAAGGAUAUGGCUGCCAACUCAAAUGAAUGCCCUACUGAAAAACUAUUUACAAAGAAGGUAGCUGGAAUUUAUAAUAUAGAUGCUUAUACAACAUUAACAACUCAAAUGGAAGCAUUGAAUAAGAACCUACAAGGUCUGCAAUUAUAAAAAUCAGUUAUA
RNAcentral lists this long non-coding RNA (199 nucleotides) under Carica papaya (papaya). Its description in RNAcentral is "long non-coding RNA (CPAP_LNC003157)". The record is from RNAcentral. Lineage: Eukaryota; Viridiplantae; Streptophyta; Magnoliopsida; Brassicales; Caricaceae.